Molecule: long non-coding RNA, 750 nt
Filed under: Prunus dulcis (almond)
Lineage: Eukaryota; Viridiplantae; Streptophyta; Magnoliopsida; Rosales; Rosaceae
Description: sRNA ncRNA
Rfam family: U2 spliceosomal RNA (bases 178-373)
Source: RNAcentral
AUGAUGAUAAUAAGGCUGUGGAGGAGAGGCUUUAGAUGUACUUGCAUUGAAGCACAAAGACUGCAAAGAUUUCUUCAAGACAGGUUGUUGACAAUCCCAUUGUCCCACAUCGACCAGUUGAGGCAAGGAGGAGAGCGGUGCUGUGUAUAAAAUAAUCAGCCCAACACAGGAAUAAGCAUACCUUUCUCGGCCUUUUGGCUAAGAUCAAGUGUAGUAUCUGUUCUUAUCAGUUUAAUAUCUGAUACGUGGGCCAAUGGCCCACACGAUAUUAAAUUAAUUUCUUUAGGGGGAGGGCUCGCUACAGUAGCUUGCUAUUGGAGCUCUCAAGCGUCGCCCAAGUGUUGCACUACUGCAUGGGCCUGGCGCACCCCACCAAAUCAAGUUUAAUCUUUUUACGGCCUUGCCCAAAAUGUUGUUCAUAAUUUAUGUCGAUGUCCGGCCCAAGCAUUAAAAAAAUAAAUAGCAAAAGCCCCCACGUGUCUUCUUAAUUUACCUAUAUCUCAAAAAUAAAAAAACAAAUAAUAUAUAUAUAUAUAUAUAUAUAUAUAUAUUGGGCAUUUAAUUUUGGUUCUCAAAUGCUAAAGUUUCAAUGGCUUGUACUUCUGCUGAGGUUAUCUCGAGUUCAUGCAUCUACUAGUUCUUUGUACCUCUAUUGAGAUUACCCUCUGUCAAGGUUAUCUUGAUUCCAUAUCUAUGCUAAUGGCUUGUUCUUUUGCCUGGGGCUAUCUUGAGUUCAUAUCGUUGUUGAAG